GACAGAGGGUGCAAACGUUGCUCGGAAUCACUGGGCGUAAAGGGCGUGUAGGCGGGAAGGUUAGUCAGAUGUGAAAUCCCCAGGCUCAACCUGGGAACUGCAUUUGAAACUCCCUUUCUUGAGUAUCGGAGAGGAAAGCGGAAUUCCUGGUGUAGAGGUGAAAUUCGUAGAUAUCAGGAGGAACACCAGUGGCGAAGGCGGCUUUCUGGACGGUUACUGACGCUGAGACGCGAAAGCGUGGGGAGCAAACAGG
This 253-nucleotide ribosomal RNA is filed under the name uncultured bacterium. Its description in RNAcentral is "partial 16S ribosomal RNA". It matches the Rfam family "Bacterial small subunit ribosomal RNA", at positions 524 to 776 of the family's 1533-position model. The record is from RNAcentral.